GUGUCAGCCGCCGCGGUAAUACGUAGGGUGCGAGCGUUAAUCGGAAUUACUGGGCGUAAAGCGUGCGCAGGCGGAUGUUUAAGACAGGUGUGAAAGCCCCGGGCUUAACCUGGGAAUGGCGCUUGUAACUGGACAUCUAGAGUACGUCAGAGGGGGGUGGAAUUCCACGUGUAGCAGUGAAAUGCGUAGAGAUGUGGAGGAACACCGAUGGCGAAGGCAGCCCCCUGGGAUGCUACUGACGCUCAGGCACGAAAGCGUGGGGAGCAAACAGGAUUAGAUACCCUGGUAGUCCACGCCCUAAACGAUGUCAACUGGUUGUUGGGGGAUUUAUUCCCUUAGUAACGUAGCUAACGCGCGAAGUUGACCGCCUGGGGAGUACGGUCGCAAGAUUAAA
This 394-nucleotide ribosomal RNA is filed under the name uncultured bacterium. RNAcentral's name for it is "bacterial SSU rRNA". It matches the Rfam family "Bacterial small subunit ribosomal RNA", at positions 505 to 898 of the family's 1533-position model. The record is from RNAcentral.